RNAcentral lists this ribosomal RNA (638 nucleotides) under uncultured Stenotrophomonas sp. Its description in RNAcentral is "bacterial SSU rRNA". It matches the Rfam family "Bacterial small subunit ribosomal RNA", at positions 365 to 995 of the family's 1533-position model. The record is from RNAcentral. Lineage: Bacteria; Pseudomonadati; Pseudomonadota; Gammaproteobacteria; Lysobacterales; Lysobacteraceae.
UGGACAAUGGGCGCAAGCCUGAUCCAGCCAUACCGCGUGGGUGAAGAAGGCCUUCGGGUUGUAAAGCCCUUUUGUUGGGAAAGAAAAGCAGUCGAUUAAUACUCGGUUGUUCUGACGGUACCCAAAGAAUAAGCACCGGCUAACUUCGUGCCAGCAGCCGCGGUAAUACGAAGGGUGCAAGCGUUACUCGGAAUUACUGGGCGUAAAGCGUGCGUAGGUGGUUGUUUAAGUCUGUUGUGAAAGCCCUGGGCUCAACCUGGGAAUUGCAGUGGAUACUGGGCGACUAGAGUGUGGUAGAGGGUAGUGGAAUUCCCGGUGUAGCAGUGAAAUGCGUAGAGAUCGGGAGGAACAUCCAUGGCGAAGGCAGCUACCUGGACCAACACUGACACUGAGGCACGAAAGCGUGGGGAGCAAACAGGAUUAGAUACCCUGGUAGUCCACGCCCUAAACGAUGCGAACUGGAUGUUGGGUGCAAUUUGGCACGCAGUAUCGAACUAACGCGUUAAGUUCGCCGCCUGGGGAGUACGGUCGCAAGACUGAAACUCAAAGGAAUUGACGGGGGCCCGCACAAGCGGUGGAGUAUGUGGUUUAAUUCGAUGCAACGCGAAGAACCUUACCUGGUCUUGACAUGUCGAGAA